RNAcentral lists this long non-coding RNA (720 nucleotides) under Gallus gallus (chicken). RNAcentral describes it as "long non-coding RNA NONGGAT007280". Lineage: Eukaryota; Metazoa; Chordata; Aves; Galliformes; Phasianidae. The record is from RNAcentral.
AGUGGCUCUUCUUCCAGCUUGAAUCGAUCUCUGUUUGGACACUUACAGUUACCCGUCAUGUUGAUAUGCACUUGACUCACCCUAGCCUCGGGCCCCAUGCCCCACACGGAUGCUCAUGGAGGCAGCAGGAAGAUGAGGAGCUCUCCAGGGUUCUGCUCAAGCUGAGCUGCAAGCAGCUGGAGGAUAAGCAUUUGGAGAGAAAUACCUCCAAACUGCCCUUUGAUCCAGCCAGCUUGAGUCAGCUUGCAGAAACGAGGGUAUGACCAAUGGCUAAAUGGGGUAAAUAGUGCACUAAAUUGCUAAUGGCUCUCUACUGCAAGAUUAAAGAUGGAAACUAAUUCUGGCAAAUUCCCAUCUACCUGCCUACAUCGUGAUGUUCUGAACAGUGCAUUGAAUCUUCCACAUGAUGUUUCUGGAAGAAUAGUUCAAGUAGGCUGGCGGUGGUGCGACAAUGGUUGCUCUGGAGGAGGCAGCUGAGGAGGAGCCUGCAGGGUUUCAGAAACAGUGAUGUUGAAAGAGGCGGACAAGCAGUUGCUGGAUUCACUUUUUGCGGAUCAAUUCAGGAAUGAUCUAAUGCUGAAGAGCAGUCCUGAAGUAAAGUGAAGCAUGUUUUUAAACAAAAAUUUUAACAGGAAUUUUUAAGGAGAUUACUUACACGUUAUCUUUCUGGUUGCACUGGAAAUCUAACUUUCACCUUUUCAUCAGCUGCUUGAGCUGGAC